GAAAAAGAAAGCUGAGUGAGGAUAGUAAGAGUUAGAGAGUGAGGAAGAGAUAUUUUAGGAAGCGUGGCCAAAAAGGCUCCUCUGAGGAGAUGACAUUUGAAAACACAGCUGAAUGAAGUGAGGCAGAGAAGCCAUGUGCGGCCGUGGGAGAAAGCCCGCAGCAGAGGAAGGAGCCAGCCACAGGCCCUAUGACCGGAAUGCGCUUGGCAGGACGGAGAACAAGGAGGCCAGUGUUGUUGGAUCAGAGUGAGGGAAGGGGAGAGUAUGAAGACAUGAAACGGGAGGAGUGACCAGGUCCGGAUCACGGAAGGCCUACGCGCCUGGCAAGGGACUUUGGAUUUUAUUCUGAGUGACGAGAGGCCGUUGGAAGGUUGAGAGCAGGAAGUGGUAUGAUUUGAUUUACAGUUUAGAAGGCAGACUCUGGCUGUUCUGUGGAGGGGGGAGAGGAGGAGAGUCAGGGUGGAAGCAGGGAUUCCUGUUAAAAUGCUACCGCAGUGUCCAGGCAAGCAAUGUAGGUGGCACGGACUAGGGUGGCCGUGGUCAUGGCGCACAGUGUUUUGGAGUCGGGAUUGACAGAUUUUGUAGCUUGAACCUGGAGAGGAUUUGUUGAUGGAUUGCAUGUAGAGCAAGAGGAAGAAGAGUCAACAAUGUGUGUAAUAUUAAAAAAAAGUUAGGAUACACAAUUCGGACACACAAUUCUAUAGAUAGUAUGGUCAAAACAGUCUUAGAUUACUUUUUUUUUUUUAAAUAAUGAGAAACAUAAGUAUAGCAAAAGAAGAAAUCCAGUUGAGGAGACAGAAUAUUUUCUUAGAUGGAUGGAUAAGACCAUAAAAAAAAGCAGAUGCUAAUUGCACAUAGUACAAAUGGCCACAGGAGGUUGGGGAGUUGACUCAAAUCCCAUUCGCCAGAAAUUACAGCAGAGAAAGGAGAAAAUAAGCUAUUGAGAAAAGAGGAGCUAUUAGUAAUCUCUACUUGGACACAAUUGGAGGUCUUUUGGGUUAAUCUCACAGCCACUGACAGCCCAGAAGCUUGGACCUCAUCCAGUGAUUCUGUCACACGAUCAUGACUCCCUCUGCUGGCAGAACCUGGUUUUGCAGUGUAAACUCAAAUCCUGAAUUACCUGCUUUGGAAAAUUUGCCGGCUCGGGGAUGACUAAAGAGCUAACUGUGUCUUCUUGGUAUAAUCUCAACCUGACUGUUACUGGGACCAUACUGGAAGAAGAUGCUGGUAUGGGAAUCCCCUGGGAGAGCAGAACUUUCAUUGUUGAAGAAAAUGCAGCAAAGGGAGCUUCUUCCUCUCACCAAGCCAACAGUGGAUGGCCCUGGCCCCUUAUGAGACUGUCAUUCAAAUCAGGACUGCAAAGCAACUGUUCUGCCAUUUCCAUGGCAAGCUCUCCCCGGCAGAGGGGAAAGACCACCAGGGUUGCAGGUUUGGCGUCUGAAGACAGACUAUGCCACUUAAUGGCUGGGUUUCCCUCUCUAGUCACUUAAUCAGCCUGAAGCUUGGAGUCCUCCUUACAAUAUGGGGAUAUUAAUAUUUUCCCCUUUCUUGGGGUUGAUGUGCGGAUCAAGUGAGUAAUAUAUGUGAUAAUACUGUAUUAACUGUAAAUCAUUCUACAAAUGUAAGGGUUUAUUACUGUCA
This is a long non-coding RNA of Equus caballus (horse), 1641 nucleotides long. Lineage: Eukaryota; Metazoa; Chordata; Mammalia; Perissodactyla; Equidae. The record is from Ensembl.